GUGCUUGCUUCAGCAGCAUAUAUACUAAAAUUGGAAAGAUGCAGUGAACAUUAGAGUGGCCCCUGCACAAGGAUGACAUGUAAAAUAGCAAAAGCUUUCAUCAUUUG
Octodon degus (degu) is the source of this 107-nucleotide small nuclear RNA. The record is from Ensembl. NCBI's taxonomy places the organism in Eukaryota, Metazoa, Chordata, Mammalia, Rodentia, Octodontidae.